GUGUCAGCCGCCGCGGUAAGACGUAGGGGGCGAGCGUUGUCCGGAAUUACUGGGCGUAAAGCGCGUGCAGGCGGUCUGCUAAGUCCUGUGUGAAAGCCUCCGGCUCAACCGGAGGACGUCGCAGGAUACUGGUGGGCUUGAGGGCGGUAGAGGGCGAUGGAAUUCCCGGUGUAGCGGUGAAAUGCGUAGAUAUCGGGAGGAACGCCAGUGGCGAAGGCGGUCGCCUGGGCCGUCCCUGACGCUGAGACGCGAAAGCUGGGGGAGCGAACGGGAUUAGAAACCCUCGUAGUCC
RNAcentral lists this ribosomal RNA (292 nucleotides) under uncultured bacterium. Its description in RNAcentral is "partial 16S ribosomal RNA". It matches the Rfam family "Bacterial small subunit ribosomal RNA", at positions 505 to 796 of the family's 1533-position model. The record is from RNAcentral.